CGGACGGGUGAGKAAMAMGUGAGAAUCUACCUUCAGGACGGAGAUAACCGSUGGAAACGGCGGCUAAUCCCCGAUGAGCCUACGGGUGAAAGCGUUAACGCCUGAAGAGGARCUCGCGGCUGAUUAGCUAGUUGGUGGGGUAAGAGCCUACCAAGGCAACGAUCAGUAGCUGGUCUGAGAGGAUGGUCAGCCACACUGGGACUGAGACACGGCCCAGACUCCUACGGGAGGCAGCAGUGGGGAAUCUUCCGCAAUGGGCGCAAGCCUGACGGAGCUAUACCGCGUGAGGGAAGAAGGCUCUUGGGUCGUAAACCUCUUUUCUUGGGGAAGAAAGCUGACGGUACCCAAGGAAAAAGCCUCGGCCAACUCCGUGCCAGCAGCCGCGGUAAUACGGAGGAGGCAAGCGUUAUCCGGAAUUAUUGGGCGUAAAGCGUCCGCAGGUGGCCUCUCAAGUCUGCGGUGAAAGAGCGGGGCUUAACCCCGGAGGAGCCGUGGAAACUGAGAAGCUAGAGUGCGGUAGGGGUAGAGGGAAUUCCCAGUGUAGCGGUGAAAUGCGUAGAGAUUGGGAAGAACAUCGGUGGCGAAAGCGCUCUACUGGACCGCAACUGACACUCAGGGACGAAAGCUAGGGGAGCGAAAGGGAUUAGAUACCCCUGUAGUC
RNAcentral lists this ribosomal RNA (661 nucleotides) under uncultured cyanobacterium. Its description in RNAcentral is "bacterial SSU rRNA". It matches the Rfam family "Bacterial small subunit ribosomal RNA", at positions 99 to 795 of the family's 1533-position model. Lineage: Bacteria; Bacillati; Cyanobacteriota. The record is from RNAcentral.